This 93-nucleotide transfer RNA is filed under the name Helianthus annuus (common sunflower). RNAcentral describes it as "tRNA-Pro". It matches the Rfam family "tRNA". Rfam says of the family: Transfer RNA (tRNA) molecules are approximately 80 nucleotides in length. Their secondary structure includes four short double-helical elements and three loops (D, anti-codon, and T loops). The record is from RNAcentral. Lineage: Eukaryota; Viridiplantae; Streptophyta; Magnoliopsida; Asterales; Asteraceae.
AGGAGAGAUGGUUGAAUGGUUGAAAAUGUAGCUUUGGAAUAGUAAAUGUAAGCUUUUGCUUACCGAGGGUUCGAAUCUCUCUCUUUCCUUACC